This 477-nucleotide ribosomal RNA is filed under the name uncultured bacterium. RNAcentral describes it as "partial 16S ribosomal RNA". It matches the Rfam family "Bacterial small subunit ribosomal RNA", at positions 28 to 505 of the family's 1533-position model. The record is from RNAcentral.
GAUGAACGCUAGCGGGAGGCCUAACACAUGCAAGCCGAGCGGUAGAGUUUCUUCGGAAACUUGAGAGCGGCGCACGGGUGCGUAACACGUGUGCAACCUACCUUUAUCUGGGGGAUAGCCUUUCGAAAGGAAGAUUAAUACCCCAUAAUAUAAUGAUUGGCAUCAAUUAUUAUUGAAAACUCCGGUGGAUAGAGAUGGGCACGCGCAAGAUUAGAUAGUUGGUGAGGUAACGGCUCACCAAGUCAAUGAUCUUUAGGGGUCCUGAGAGGGAGAUCCCCCACACUGGUACUGAGACACGGACCAGACUCCUACGGGAGGCAGCAGUGAGGAAUAUUGGACAAUGGGUGAGAGCCUGAUCCAGCCAUCCCGCGUGAAGGAUGACGGUCCUAUGGAUUGUAAACUUCUUUUGUACAGGGAUAAACCUACCCUCGUGAGGGUAGCUGAAGGGACUGUACGAAUAAGCACCGGCUAACUCCG